UACGUAGGGUGCGAGCGUUAAUCGGAAUUACUGGGCGUAAAGAGUGCGUAGGCGGUUCGUUAAGUCAGCUGUGAAAGCCCCGGGCUCAACCUGGGAACUGCGGUUGAAACUGGCGAACUAGAAUCUGGCAGAGGGGGGUGGAAUUCCACGUGUAGCAGUGAAAUGCGUAGAGAUGUGGAGGAACACCGAUGGCGAAGGCGAGUUUCUGGACGGUAACUGACGCUGAGGCACGAAGGCCAGGGGAGCAAACGGG
This 253-nucleotide ribosomal RNA is filed under the name uncultured bacterium. RNAcentral's name for it is "partial 16S ribosomal RNA". It matches the Rfam family "Bacterial small subunit ribosomal RNA", at positions 524 to 776 of the family's 1533-position model. The record is from RNAcentral.